UCCUGGCUAGGACGAACGCCUGGCGGCGUGCCUAACACAUGCAAGUCGAGCGAGGAGAUCCUUCGGGAUGAUCCUAGCGGCGGACGGGUGAGUAACACGUGGGCAACCUGCCUCAUAGAGAGGAAUAGCCUUCCGAAAGGGAGAUUAAUACCUCAUAACAUUGCAGUUUCGCAUGGAACAGCAAUUAAAGGAGUAAUCCGCUAUGAGAUGGGCCCGCGGCGCAUUAGCUAGUUGGUGAGGUAACGGCUCACCAAGGCGACGAUGCGUAGCCGACCUGAGAGGGUGAUCGGCCACAUUGGGACUGAGACACGGCCCAGACUCCUACGGGAGGCAGCAGUGGGGAAUAUUGCACAAUGGGGGAAACCCUGAUGCAGCCAACGCCGCGUGAGUGAUGACGGCCUUCGGGUUGUAAAGCUCUGUCUUCAGGGACGAUAAUGACGGUACCUGAGGAGGAAGCCACGGCUAACUACGUGCCAGCAGCAGC
Molecule: ribosomal RNA, 484 nt
Filed under: uncultured bacterium
Lineage: Bacteria
Description: bacterial SSU rRNA
Rfam family: Bacterial small subunit ribosomal RNA
Source: RNAcentral